RNAcentral lists this unclassified non-coding RNA (402 nucleotides) under soil metagenome. Its description in RNAcentral is "partial contains 5.8S ribosomal RNA, internal transcribed spacer 2, and large subunit ribosomal RNA". The stretch from base 1 to 121 matches the Rfam family "5.8S ribosomal RNA", at positions 35 to 154 of the family's 154-position model. The record is from RNAcentral.
GAUGAAGAACGUAGCGAAAUGCGAUAAGUAAUGUGAAUUGCAGAAUUCAGUGAAUCAUCGAAUCUUUGAACGCACCUUGCGCCCUUUGGCUAUUCCGAAGGGCAUGCCUGUUUGAGUAUCAUGAACACCUCAACUCUCAUGGUUUGCCAUGAUGAGCUUGGACUUUGGGGGUCUUGCCGGCCUAUGGGUCGGCUCCUCUCAAAUGUAUUAGCUUGCCGGUGUUUGGUGGCAUCACAGGUGUGAUAACUAUCUACGCUUGUGGUUUUCCACUAGGUAACCUUCAGCAAUGGAGGUUCACCGGAGCUCACAAAUGUCUCUCCUUGCCAAGGACAGAUUUUGACCAUUUGAUCUCAAAUCAGGUAGGACUACCCGCUGAACUUAAGCAUAUCAAUAAGCGGAGGA